GAAACAGUGUCGUAUCAACAGCACAUUACAGUAAAGAAUGAUGUUUAGACAUGACAUCCAUAGAUAAUGUAGUCUAAUUGGUUCAUGCUCCACGCUAAUUGGUGACAGUGAAUCACGGUAUCUUGAAACUUUCAUGAUCUAAACAUGGAACAUUGUUUCUGUCUCCAUACAACAGAACAAUAUGGAAGUAUGUAUUAAGAGUAAUGCAACAGUUACUUAUCAUUUUGAGCAGUUGUAUCAAUUGAUAGUUAGAUCACUGUAUAGAAAUGAAUAGGCAGUAAUUUGAAAUUUAGUGUUUGA
This is a long non-coding RNA of Etheostoma cragini (Arkansas darter), 300 nucleotides long. RefSeq lists it as uncharacterized. The transcript has 4 exons. The record is from RefSeq and is a predicted model, not a curated record. NCBI's taxonomy places the organism in Eukaryota, Metazoa, Chordata, Actinopteri, Perciformes, Percidae.